Thrips palmi is the source of this 420-nucleotide long non-coding RNA. RefSeq lists it as uncharacterized. The transcript has 3 exons. Lineage: Eukaryota; Metazoa; Arthropoda; Insecta; Thysanoptera; Thripidae. The record is from RefSeq and is a predicted model, not a curated record.
ACCGGAGGGCUGCUUGUGCCUCGGGGGCUCGCGGUGCGUCAGUGAGAGCAGGAGUGCAGGUGAGUUCCGCCCUGGCAAAACGACUGUUUGAGUUCGGACGCAUUCGACCCGCCCCUGCAGCCGCCAAGAGGACGGCGCGCGAACUGCCCGGUACUUGCCACCAGCUUGUCAGUGUGAGCGCCGGAAGGGAGGUCUCUGGAGCGGCUUCGGAUUUCGAGCCAGUCGCAGUCUUGGUCUGAUCCCCAGAGCGUGGCCAGUCCAGCGACCGCACCAGCAACUCGUAGGUGACAUUUUUACUGAGCUCUGGCGGCACUACAUGAACGGACGACACGCCAUCCCGAGAUAUUCGUCGUCAGUUCACCAGCUUACUCCCCAAUGCGUGCCCAGGCGCCAGAGCUGCGGGAAAGCCUCCAGCGCCCU